UCAACAACAAGCGAUUCGAAUUGCAACAACAACCAAGCUCCGACCCGUUCUAACCCUCACCCGAAAACCCGACCUUAUACCGAACUCCACCACCAACUCCGCGCUGAUAUCAGUGAAACCCAACCCAAAUUCGGCGAAAACAAAUUUCCCGAGUACCGACCUAACUCCGUUCGAAUCGACCCGACCUUGACCCAUGCAGAUUCACAAAGAAAUUGGUCGAAUCUUCCAGAAUAUGAUGUGUUGGCCUCUCCAACGGUUGAAUCCCGCGAUUCUCGGAUGAGAAGGUACAAAUUCGUACAAAGGUGGGCGAAUUUUAUUGGUUUUGGGGGGAGGUUUCCACUUUUCCUUUUCCUAUUGGUUGAAACCAAUUCAAAAUUCCCCCAAGAAUCCAAAAUUUGUAUUGGUUUGAGUAACGAAUCUGGUUGUCAACCUUAUCCUCAAUUCGAAUUUUGAAAUCUUUUUUUUGGUAAAUACCAAGUUUGUCCUCAUGGGAAGCCCUAAACGAACCCUAUUUUUUCUCUAUAAAAAGGGAGUCUUAGGAGCAGAGAGGGGGGAUUUUUUUUUUCGGCUUCUUUCCUUUUGGGUUUGAAAAAUUCGGGAGAUUUUGGGGUUCGAAAGAUCCGAGGUGGGGGUUUUCGUGAAUGAAGGUUGGUAAAGAGAGGGAUUCUAGGUUUUGAAAAAAGAAACUGAAGAAGAAAAUUUUUUGAGGCUGGUUCGAAAAUCUGGGUUCGAAAAUUAGAGUCUCAAAAUUGGGGAGUGGAAAUUUUGGGGUGGGAAAGGAAAAAAAUAUUUUCUGAGUUAGCUGGUUUCGAGUAAAGAAGCCUUUUCUUUGAGAACUUUCCAGUAGUGGUGGUUAAGCUUUCAUUGUAGGCUCGAGUCUCAUUUGCUGCAUCGAGACAGUUUCGGGAGGAUGGGGACCCGUUGUGCUGAUGUUUUGUUAAAGUUUUGUGUUCGGUUAGUUUCGGACUAAUGGUAUCUAGUUAUGGCCGAUUUCAUGGCUCUAAGUCUCAUGUUUCUAAUGUCGGAUUGAUGGUGUCUUGUUCAUUGUUCGUAUUUGACGUCAUCUUGUUCGUCAUCAUUAGUCGGAUGUUUGCAGUAUAUUGUCUUCCAUAUCACUAAAGUUGUUUUCUCUCUAUUAGGAGUAGAAUAGGAAUAUGGUUUAGACUAGAUCAGUUAAAUUUUCUUUUCCUGUUUGUAAGAAAGGCAUGUAAUGUCUAGAUUAAAUGUUGCUUUCUUGUUCCAUAAGCUCGGUGCAAUUAAACCUACAUUAGUUUAAUGAGAUUUCUUUCGUCAAAUUUUGGUACACUUUGUCUUAAUUUGCUCUUAGUUGCUGGUUUCACAGCAUUGUUAUUAUAAAGAUGAAUACCAAAUGCGUUUUCAUGUUCAGUCAAGCACUGCAUCUAGACGUUUCGUUAAGUAGAAGUUCUCUGUCUGUUGAAUAAAAAUAGUAUUACGUUGAUAUCGAUUGAAUUAUUGGUUGUUAUGACUGCAGUGUUCAUGUAUCAAUUGAAAUUCACUCUUAAUUAUUCACAACUGAAUUAAUUCAAAAUGUCCAGGUUAUAUGAUGUUUCCUUGCUUUAUAAACUCGGUGCAGUUAGACAUAUGUUAGAUGAUUUCUUCUGCCAAAUGUGGUUCAUUUUGUCUUAAUGUCUUCCUUUCUUUUGGUUAUAUGACAUUAUUGUUAAGACUGAUGAAUGCCAAAUAUGUUUUAAUGUUUUGCCAAGCACUGCAUCUACAUGGUUUCCUGCACGUUGAAUGAAGUUACUACUAUGUCGAUAUUGAUUGAACUAUUGGUUGCCAUGUUCCAGUGUUCAUGUAUCGAUUAAAAUUUCUUUCUAAAUUAUUUUUAGUUGAAUUAUUUCCUAAUCCUUAUCUUCCUUCACCUUUUCUUUGCACGAACCCGCCUUUGAGUCCAAAAGGACUCUAUUCCCAUUGUUGCAUUAUCAAUGUGGGCCAUUGAGGUCCAUGCCUCAUGAAUCGAUUUCGAAGGUCAUAAGGAGACGAUCUCAUAGUGCGUGGAUAAGAAAGCCGGAAGAAGAAAAAUGGAUUAAAGUCCUAUCGUUAGAGCAGGCGACGAGACUCGAGAAUCUCAUUCUUUUAUUUAUCUGUUGUACUAUUUAUUUAUUUAUUUAUUUAUUUAUUGUUGCUUUAGUUAUUUAUUUCUUUGGUUAUCUAUUUUAGGCCUCGAAGCUAAAGUUGUAAAUUAAUACAGGUGGAGCAAGAUUCGAGCCAAACGCUCGAAAACUAGAUUAGGACAGGUGAAAUGGGUCGAAGGCCCAAUUAGACUAGGACAGGUUUUGUUGGUUUGGAUCAAUGGCCUAAAUCCCUUGCUUCCUCCCCUUCCCCCUGUUUCUUAUGUUUGUUUUCCUUAUGUGCUUUGCGAACCUAGUUAAAUCCUUAGUUAAGUCGCUAAAAAACUAGUUUUGCAUGAAUACCAAAAUAUGUUCAAAAUCGCUUUCUUUCCAAAAAAUCAAUCACUUUUCGACAAAAUUAAUCUUUUCGAAGUUAAUCAAAAGACGAUUUUUAAACAGUCCGGAUAAGGGAGUAAAUAAAUAGAAGUUAAGUUUUAGUGCUAAAGUGAGUUUGGAGGAUAAGUUCGGGGUGGGGGGGUGUGAAUAUGCCUUUUCUCAUUAAUUAAUAGUAAAUAGAUUCAUGAAUAAUUUAAAACAAAAAGUAACUUUCUUUCAAGAACUUAAAACAUACAAUUUAAAGAAGAAUGAAUUUGUCAAAUUCAUGUUCUUUGUAACUCUAUACUUUUAACUAAUGCAUUUGUUUCAAAAAUUAAUUGAAACAUAACUCAAAAUUUUUAAUCGAUGUACAACCUUUAAUAAUAACAUACGUGUGUCUGGUAUUCAUGAGAGCUCUAAAGACUAAGAUCAAAGGUCUCAUAGGAACGAUCUCAUUUCACUUUUCAUAUAAGUGAAUUCAUCAAGUGUACACUGCUUUAAAGACACUAUCCUUAAUGAUUAUGAAUUCAUUAAAGUUAGUAAUUCAUCACUCCAUUUUAGUAGCAGUUCAAACACUCUCAAUUAGUACGCAGAGUCAAUAUCUAUUUAUUAUUACCCAUAUGAACCUACUUCAUGGGAUUUUCAAUCACAUAGGUUGGGUUAUCAUCUCUAUUGACAAUCAUAUUGGCCUUAACCGUAUCUCUUUUGAGGUUUGGAGAAUUAAUUUUCUUCCUACAGGUUUAGUCAGUGAAUCAGUCGAAUUCAAUUCUGACUUCACAUAAUUAAUGGAAAUUAUUCCAUCUUUCAGCAGUUGCUUAACAACAUCAUGUCUCAAUUUCAUAUGUCUACUCUUACAACUGUAAAAUUUAUUCUUCACAAUAGCAAUUACGGCUUGACAAUCACAGUGUAUAUACACAGGAGACCCCAGAUCAUCCUCUUUGAAAGGGAUAUUAGACAACAAAUCAUUCUUUUUUAAAAGGAAUAUUUGCUAAGAAAUUUCUUAGUCAUUCAACCUCAGUACCAACUAACUCCAAAGUCACAAGCUCUGAUUCCAUAGUUGAUCUAGCAAUGAUCUUUAUCCCUCAUGGAUGUGCUACAUGUUCCGACAAUGCGAGCAAACCUAAUUUUUGUGGCUUUGCUGGAUAAAGCUAGUAUGAAAGUGUCUGUUAAAUCUAAUAAUGUUAUUUUGACAAAAAAAUAUUGUAUUUGUGAGAAAAGACUAUUGUAACCAUGAGACUUAUUACUAUACCUUCUGUUGUUGCUGUACUGUCCUUGUACAAAAUUUGUUUUGAGCGCAGUUUGCUUAGCUUUGAACGACUCCUUUCUGUUGGUGUCUUCAAUUAGAAUAUGAAUUAUAAUUUCCUCAA
Molecule: long non-coding RNA, 3814 nt
Organism: Capsicum annuum
Lineage: Eukaryota; Viridiplantae; Streptophyta; Magnoliopsida; Solanales; Solanaceae
Exons: 2
Source: RefSeq, a predicted model, not a curated record